GACGAACGCUGGCGGCGUGCCUAAUACAUGCAAGUUGAGCGCUGAAGGUUGGUACUUGUACCGACUGGAUGAGCAGCGAACGGGUGAGUAACGCGUGGGGAAUCUGCCUUUGAGCGGGGGACAACAUUUGGAAACGAAUGCUAACACCGCAUAAAAACUUUAAACACAAGUUUUAAGUUUGAAAGAUGCAAUUGCAUCACUCAAAGAUGAUCCCGCGUUGUAUUAGCUAGUUGGUGAGGUAAAGGCUCACCAAGGCGAUGAUACAUAGCCGACCUGAGAGGGUGAUCGGCCACAUUGGGACUGAGACACGGCCCAAACUCCUACGGGAGGCAGCAGUAGGGAAUCUUCGGCAAUGGACGAAAGUCUGACCGAGCAACGCCGCGUGAGUGAAGAAGGUUUUCGGAUCGUAAAACUCUGUUGGUAGAGAAGGACGUUGGUGAGAGUGGAAAGCUCAUCAAGUGACGGUAACUACCCAGAAAGGGACGGCUAACUACGUG
This 497-nucleotide ribosomal RNA is filed under the name uncultured bacterium. RNAcentral describes it as "partial 16S ribosomal RNA". It matches the Rfam family "Bacterial small subunit ribosomal RNA", at positions 28 to 507 of the family's 1533-position model. The record is from RNAcentral.